RNAcentral lists this ribosomal RNA (253 nucleotides) under uncultured bacterium. Its description in RNAcentral is "partial 16S ribosomal RNA". It matches the Rfam family "Bacterial small subunit ribosomal RNA", at positions 524 to 776 of the family's 1533-position model. The record is from RNAcentral.
UACGUAGGGGGCAAGCGUUGUCCGGAUUUAUUGGGCGUAAAGAGCGUGUAGGCGGCCAUGCAGGUCAGCUGUGAAAACUCGAGGCUCAACCUCGAGACGUCGGUUGAAACCGCAUGGCUAGAGUCCGGAAGAGGAGAGUGGAAUUCCCGGUGUAGCGGUGAAAUGCGCAGAUAUCGGGAAGAACACCCGUGGCGAAGGCGGCUCUCUGGGACGGUACUGAUGCUGAGACGCGAAAGCGUGGGGAGCGAACAGG